GAUGAACGCUGGCGGCGUGCCUAAUACAUGCAAGUCGAGCGAACAGACGAGGAGCUUGCUCCUCUGACGUUAGCGGCGGACGGGUGAGUAACACGUGGAUAACCUACCUAUAAGACUGGGAUAACUUCGGGAAACCGGAUCUAAUACCGGAUAAUAUAUUGAACCGCAUGGUUCAAUAGUGAAAGACGGUUUUGCUGUCACUUAUCGAUGGAUCCGCGCCGCAUUAGCUAGUUGGUAAGGUAACGGCUUACCAAGGCGACGAUGCGUAGCCGACCUGAGAGGGUGAUCGGCCACACUGGAACUGAGACACGGUCCAGACUCCUGCGGGAGGCAGCAGUAGGGAAUCUUCCGCAAUGGGCGAAAGCCUGACGGAGCAACGCCGCGUGAGUGAUGAAGGUCUUCGGAUCGUAAAACUCUGUUAUUAGGGAAGAACAAAUGUGUAAGUAACUAUGCACGUCUUGACGGUACCUAAUCAGAAAGCCACGGCUAACUACGUG
Molecule: ribosomal RNA, 497 nt
Filed under: uncultured bacterium
Lineage: Bacteria
Description: partial 16S ribosomal RNA
Rfam family: Bacterial small subunit ribosomal RNA
Source: RNAcentral